RNAcentral lists this long non-coding RNA (773 nucleotides) under Olea europaea (common olive). Its description in RNAcentral is "long non-coding RNA (OEUR_LNC014473)". Lineage: Eukaryota; Viridiplantae; Streptophyta; Magnoliopsida; Lamiales; Oleaceae. The record is from RNAcentral.
GCUCACAUUCUAAUAAAUAAUAUUGCUGUAGGUCAAAAUAAACUAACUAGAUUACAUAUUUCCUGGACUAUAAAUUCCCAGCAACCAUAAAAUUGUUUUAACCAAGAAAUUUUAUCAAAAAACAUGAACCCAUACAUGAAUCUCGAACAGUGAAUGGAUAUUAUUAUAAUGAUAACUAAUAGUCCAAACAAAAUGAUCCAUUCUAGCCCCCCAGGGCACGUACCAACUGCCAAAGAUGAGGGCGCUUCAAGGCUGGCAGAUCAGAUGUUAUGAGUUUGAUUCCUGAAAGGUUUUUGGAGGUCAGAUAUUCUCCUGGAAGGCAGAAUUUUAUCCUGGAAGGCAGGAGCUCUACUAGAAGACAAGGUACAAAAAUGGGAAACGACUUGCUUGACAUUUUGGCAGAUCAGUUGGGGCUCUUAAGCACUAGUCAGUUUGAGGCAUAACCUGCGGUUUAACCUGUCUGCAGCUUGAGGGACCAAGGUGUAGACUCCAGGAUUUAGUCACCACCUGGAUAUCAAAAAAAUAAAUAAAUAAAUGAUCCAUUCUAGUUAGAUUCAGCAUAUGAAGAACAUAUACUCGUUAUAUAUAUAUAUAUAUAUAUAUUGAUUGCGAAAGUGUUUACAUACGUUUCAAAAACAUAUAUCACAGAUUAAGGUUCUAAUCUAUUUUCUGUCUGCUCUGAUACCAGCUGUUAGUUUUUUAAUUACAUUACACACGUCGAUUUAGAACACAGAUCAAGUGAAUUUAGAAUAAAUACCUCUUGAAGCCAUAAU